UACGUAGGGUGCAAGCGUUGCCCGGAUUUAUUGGGCGUAAAGGGCGCGCAGGCGGCUACGCACGUCCGUUGUGAAAUCGCUCGGCUCAACUGGGCGGGGUCGGCGGAUACGGCGUAGCUGGAGCAAGCUAGGGGGCAAUGGAAUUCCCGGUGUAGUGGUGGAAUGCGUAGAUAUCGGGAGGAACACCGGUGGCGAAGGCGGCGACCUGGGUCGAGACUGACGCUGAGGCGCGAAAGCGUGGGGAGCAAACAGG
This 253-nucleotide ribosomal RNA is filed under the name uncultured bacterium. RNAcentral describes it as "partial 16S ribosomal RNA". It matches the Rfam family "Bacterial small subunit ribosomal RNA", at positions 524 to 776 of the family's 1533-position model. The record is from RNAcentral.